GGACUACCGAUUGUCGCUGAGGUAGGAGGGGGAAGGCGAACGACGAUGAGCCAGCGAUGGAGAAGAGAGAUGGGACAGUUCAUAGACGGAGGAGUUAGGAUUUUCAAAACUGUGUCGAACUCAGGGAGUGAGUCCCUAUUCAAGCUAGUGUACACAAAGGGGAUCGUGCCCUAUCUUUCGAGUUGGCCAGUCCGACGAUCGAGAAUGUAGCCACGUUCUCGUUUCACAUAUGAGGCUAAGAUAUGGUUGAGCUGUGAUGAGCGCGGUGGGUGCUGAGCAAGACCGUUGGAAAAAAUUAAGUGUUCAGAAUGUGUCAUGUCUCCACACGUGACAUAUUCCUUCUCUCAAAUGCUUCCGCUGAGUAGUUGUCUUUCUUUUGAGUUCUUGUAUUGCGCAGAUAAUAUUUUUCUAGUUCUUGAUUGUUGAGAUACUCUGAUUUUAUUUGAGCUAUUCCUAUUAUUUCGAGUUA
Salvia splendens (bonfire salvia) is the source of this 469-nucleotide long non-coding RNA. RefSeq lists it as uncharacterized. NCBI's taxonomy places the organism in Eukaryota, Viridiplantae, Streptophyta, Magnoliopsida, Lamiales, Lamiaceae. The transcript has 3 exons. The record is from RefSeq and is a predicted model, not a curated record.